This 508-nucleotide ribosomal RNA is filed under the name uncultured Glomeromycotina. Its description in RNAcentral is "SSU rRNA". It matches the Rfam family "Eukaryotic small subunit ribosomal RNA", at positions 569 to 1078 of the family's 1831-position model. Lineage: Eukaryota; Fungi; Glomeromycota. The record is from RNAcentral.
AGCAGCCGCGGUAAUUCCAGCUCCAAUAGCGUAUAUUAAAGUUGUUGCAGUUAAAAAGCUCGUAGUUGAAUUUCGGGGUUAGUAGGUUGGUCAUGCCUCUGGUAUGUACUGGUCUCACUGAUUCCUCCUUCCUGAUGAGCCUUAAUGCCAUUAAUUUGGUGUUUUGGGGAAUUUGGACUGUUACUUUGAAAAAAUUAGAGUGUUUAAAGCAAGCUAACGCUUGAAUACAUUAGCAUGGAAUAAUGAAAUAGGACGUUCGAUCCUAUUUUGUUGGCUUCUAGGAUUGACGUAAUGAUUAAUAGGGAUAGUUGGGGGCAUUAGUAUUCAAUUGUCAGAGGUGAAAUUCUUGGAUUUAUUGAAGACUAACUACUGCGAAAGCAUUUGCCAAGGAUGUUUUCAUUAAUCAAGAACGAAAGUUAGGGGAUCGAAGACGAUCAGAUACCGUCGUAGUCUUAACCAUAAACUAUGCCGACUAGGGAUCGGAUGAUGUUAAUUUUUUAAUGACUCA